This 253-nucleotide ribosomal RNA is filed under the name uncultured bacterium. RNAcentral's name for it is "partial 16S ribosomal RNA". It matches the Rfam family "Bacterial small subunit ribosomal RNA", at positions 524 to 776 of the family's 1533-position model. The record is from RNAcentral.
UACGUAGGGUGCAAGCGUUAAUCGGAAUUACUGGGCGUAAAGCGUGCGCAGGCGGUUUUGUAAGUCUGAUGUGAAAUCCCUGGGCUCAACCUGGGAAUUGCAUUGGAGACUGCAAGGCUAGAAUCUGGCAGAGGGGGGUAGAAUUCCACGUGGAGCAGUGAAAUGCGUAGAGAUGUGGAGGAACGCCGAUGGCGAAGGCAGCCCCCUGGGUCAAGAUUGACGCUCAUGCACGAAAGCGAGGGGAGCAAACGGG